Molecule: transfer RNA, 75 nt
Filed under: Mycoplasmoides gallisepticum
Lineage: Bacteria; Bacillati; Mycoplasmatota; Mycoplasmoidales; Mycoplasmoidaceae
Also listed under: 15 other names
Description: tRNA-Asn
Rfam family: tRNA
About the family: Transfer RNA (tRNA) molecules are approximately 80 nucleotides in length. Their secondary structure includes four short double-helical elements and three loops (D, anti-codon, and T loops). Further hydrogen bonds mediate the characteristic L-shaped molecular structure. tRNAs have two regions of fundamental functional importance: the anti-codon, which is responsible for specific mRNA codon recognition, and the 3' end, to which the tRNAs corresponding amino acid is attached (by aminoacyl-tRNA synthetases). tRNAs cope with the degeneracy of the genetic code in two manners: having more than one tRNA (with a specific anti-codon) for a particular amino acid; and 'wobble' base-pairing, i.e. permitting non-standard base-pairing at the 3rd anti-codon position.
Source: RNAcentral
GGCCACAUAGCUCAGCGGUAGAGCAACCGGCUGUUAACCGGUUGGUCACAGGUUCAAAUCCUGUUGUGGCCGCCA